ACGGGUGAGUAAUGUCUGGGGAUCUGCCCGAUAGAGGGGGAUAACCACUGGAAACGGUGGCUAAUACCGCAUAACGUCGCAAGACCAAAGAGGGGGACCUUCGGGCCUCUCACUAUCGGAUGAACCCAGAUGGGAUUAGCUAGUAGGCGGGGUAACGGCCCACCUAGGCGACGAUCCCUAGCUGGUCUGAGAGGAUGACCAGCCACACUGGAACUGAGACACGGUCCAGACUCCUACGGGAGGCAGCAGUGGGGAAUAUUGCACAAUGGGCGCAAGCCUGAUGCAGCCAUGCCGCGUGUAUGAAGAAGGCCUUCGGGUUGUAAAGUACUUUCAGCGGGGAGGAAGGCGAUAAGGUUAAUAACCUUGUCGAUUGACGUUACCCGCAGAAGAAGCACCGGCUAACUCCGUGCCAGCAGCCGCGGUAAUACGGAGGGUGCAAGCGUUAAUCGGAAUUACUGGGCGUAAAGCGCACGCAGGCGGUCUGUUAAGUCAGAUGUGAAAUCCCCGGGCUUAACCUGGGAACUGCAUUUGAAACUGGCAGGCUUGAGUCUCGUGGAGGGGGGUAGAAUUCCAGGUGUAGC
This 581-nucleotide ribosomal RNA is filed under the name uncultured bacterium. RNAcentral describes it as "bacterial SSU rRNA". It matches the Rfam family "Bacterial small subunit ribosomal RNA", at positions 102 to 679 of the family's 1533-position model. The record is from RNAcentral.